AUUAGAUUACAGCGAUGGUCAAAAGCAUUUAGAUAUUGCUUUGAAAUCUACAGAUAAGUAUUUACAUAGGAAAAUAUUGGAGGAUGAAGUUCUACCUACUGCCUCAAGUUAAUUUAAAUUCUGAGUUGCAACAAGCAAGAAGGGCACCAUUAAAUGAAUAUUAUACCCAUAAAGCAACAACAGAAUAAAAAACCAAAAUAUGAACACCAGCAACUAAAACAGGAACCAUUA
This is a long non-coding RNA of Sitophilus oryzae (rice weevil), 231 nucleotides long. RefSeq lists it as uncharacterized. Lineage: Eukaryota; Metazoa; Arthropoda; Insecta; Coleoptera; Curculionidae. The record is from RefSeq and is a predicted model, not a curated record. The transcript is spliced from 3 exons.